This 115-nucleotide ribosomal RNA is filed under the name Danio rerio (zebrafish). The record is from RNAcentral. Lineage: Eukaryota; Metazoa; Chordata; Actinopteri; Cypriniformes; Danionidae.
GCCAGAAGCUAGCACUCUGCAACACUCAGAUGGUCACCCACUGAGGCUAAAAAGGGCUGUGCCUGGUCAGUACCUGGAUAUGAGACCACAUGGGAAAGCUAGGUUGCUGCUGGAA